CUCUCUCCAUUGCAGAGGAAUAACAACUAGUUAAAAACAGUAAACCUAACCCUAGAAAUCUCUCUCUACACACACACACACACACACACACACUCUCUCUCUCUCUCUCUCUCUCUCAACCCUAAUUCUUUCAAAAUCAGGGUUACUGAAGACUAGGGUUUUUAGAUGUGAGAUUGUUCGGAUCCAUCAUGGCUGAUCUUCCCAGCGACGCAGCGGCAGCAGUGAGGGCUUCUCCCUGGCAGUGCUGAACAAUGGUAGUAUGGAUGCGCCGAAGCUGAUGGUGUCGGGAUCGUUCAAGGGGUCAAGGAGGUAGACAUCGGUCCGGCCGAGCCUCGACGUGGAUGAGUUCAUAAAUCUGCUGCACAGGUCAGAUCCGGUCAAGGUGGAGUUGAAUCAAUUGGAGAAUGAAGUCAUAGAUAAGGAUCGGGAGUUGGGGGAAGCGCAGGCGGAGAUCAAGGCAUUAAGGUUAUCAGAACGUUUGAGAGAGAAGGCGAUCGAAGAGGUAUUAAUUUUAAUUUAUUUAUUUUGGGAUUUUCUAUAUUUGGCUAUCAGGCGUUUUAUUUUGAUUUAAAAUCUGGUUUCAAUUUUAGAUUUAUAUGUAAUAGUGUAUUACAUUGUGUUUUUGGAUUUUCAGUAGUUGGCAUUUUAUUUUUUUAUAUGAGGUCUGCCAUCUCGUGCACAAUAUGAAAGGCGGAUGUUGAUGCAGCAGUAGUUAAAGUAGUCAUGGCUAGAGCUGGGGUGAAAAUGGUAGUAAAGUGGAACAACUCUCAUCCUUGGAGAUGGACUCUAUAACUUCAUCAAAGUACUGUCUUUCACCAUCAGAAGCUUCCAUGGUAGAUUGAAAUUGAAGGACCCUCAGAACAGGCGGUUAUUUGGACAGUAGCAGUUGCAACUCUCGUCUGUUUUUCAUCUGAGACAAACAUCUCAAUUAUGGUGUAUAGUCAUUUUUUACUGAAUCUAAGCGAAUUGUUUGAUCCCCAGCUAUGACAGAUCUUAGUGCCAACGUUGGGCAGGCAGGCCAACACAACCGUCAGUAAAUCCCGCAUUGAAGAGGCAGUUGGCACAACCGUCAGUAAAUCCUACAAAAGG
Long non-coding RNA from Magnolia sinica, 1089 nucleotides. RefSeq lists it as uncharacterized. The record is from RefSeq and is a predicted model, not a curated record. The transcript is spliced from 4 exons. NCBI's taxonomy places the organism in Eukaryota, Viridiplantae, Streptophyta, Magnoliopsida, Magnoliales, Magnoliaceae.